RNAcentral lists this ribosomal RNA (290 nucleotides) under uncultured bacterium. Its description in RNAcentral is "partial 16S ribosomal RNA". It matches the Rfam family "Bacterial small subunit ribosomal RNA", at positions 775 to 1067 of the family's 1533-position model. The record is from RNAcentral.
GGAUUAGAUACCCUGGUAGUCCACGCCCUAAACGAUGAUUGCUAAUCGUGGGGAUUUAAUCUCCGUGGUACAGCUAACGCAUUAAGCAAUCCGCCUGGGUAGUACGGCCGCAAGGCUAAAACUUAAAGGAAUUGGCGGGAACCCACACAAGCGGUGGAGCAUCUGGUUUAAUUCGAUAAUAACCGAAGAACCUUACCAUCCCUUGCAUGUUUGUAUCGGAGUUUCUAAAAGAGAGCUCUUCCUUCGGGAGGCAUUCACAGGUGAUGCAUGGUUGUCGUCAGCUCGUGCCG